CACGUAGGCACCAAGCGUUGUCCGGAUUUAUUGGGCGUAAAGAGCUCGUAGGCGGUUCGGUAAGUCGGGUGUGAAAACUCUGGGCUCAACCCAGAGCCGCCACCCGAUACUGCUGUGACUUGAGUGCGGUAGGGGAGCGGGGAAUUCCUGGUGUAGCGGUGAAAUGCGCAGAUAUCAGGAGGAACACCGGUGGCGAAGGUGGGUCUCUGGGCCGAUACUGACGCUGAGGAGCGAAAGCGUGGGGAGCGAACAGG
This 254-nucleotide ribosomal RNA is filed under the name uncultured bacterium. RNAcentral's name for it is "partial 16S ribosomal RNA". It matches the Rfam family "Bacterial small subunit ribosomal RNA", at positions 524 to 776 of the family's 1533-position model. The record is from RNAcentral.